Molecule: long non-coding RNA, 306 nt
Organism: Gasterosteus aculeatus aculeatus (three-spined stickleback)
Lineage: Eukaryota; Metazoa; Chordata; Actinopteri; Perciformes; Gasterosteidae
Source: Ensembl
GGUGUUUUCUACAAGCUCGCGGUUUGUUUUUUUUGACAGUAAGGGGGUGGAGCCAGUCACCAUGGUAUUUCUACAUCUAAUUGGUUACAAACCCCGUCUUUGGAUUGGCUGGAGUUAUGCAUUCACACAACUAUAGAAGCCCAUUUUCGCACUACAGAAAUUACGGUUGUAGCUGGUUGUCAUCUACGGUCCACAACGGAAUCAGGAAUCAGGAAACAUUUAUUGUCAAAAUACGUCAUACAUACAAGGAAUUUGACUUGGCGGUUGGUGCGUAACAGUAGACAGUAUAACAAUAGACAACAAGAC